ACAUGCAAGUCGAACGAUGAAGCCCUUCGGGGUGGAUUAGUGGCGAACGGGUGAGUAACACGUGGGCAAUCUGCCCUUCACUCUGGGACAAGCCCUGGAAACGGGGUCUAAUACCGGAUAACACCGGCUUCCGCAUGGAAGCUGGUUGAAAGCUCCGGCGGUGAAGGAUGAGCCCGCGGCCUAUCAGCUUGUUGGUGGGGUAAUGGCCCACCAAGGCGACGACGGGUAGCCGGCCUGAGAGGGCGACCGGCCACACUGGGACUGAGACACGGCCCAGACUCCUACGGGAGGCAGCAGUGGGGAAUAUUGCACAAUGGGCGAAAGCCUGAUGCAGCGACGCCGCGUGAGGGAUGACGGCCUUCGGGUUGUAAACCUCUUUCAGCAGGGAAGAAGCGAAAGUGACGGUACCUGCAGAAGAAGCGCCGGCUAACUACGUGCCAGCAGCCGCGGUAAUACGUAGGGCGCAAGCGUUGUCCGGAAUUAUUGGGCGUAAAGAGCUCGUAGGCGGCUUGUCACGUCGGGUGUGAAAGCCCGGGGCUUAACCCCGGGUCUGCAUCCGAUACGGGCAGGCUAGAGUGUGGUAGGGGAGAUCGGAAUUCCUGGUGUAGCGGUGAAAUGCAUAG
This 623-nucleotide ribosomal RNA is filed under the name Streptomyces lateritius. RNAcentral's name for it is "bacterial SSU rRNA". It matches the Rfam family "Bacterial small subunit ribosomal RNA", at positions 53 to 693 of the family's 1533-position model. The record is from RNAcentral. Lineage: Bacteria; Bacillati; Actinomycetota; Actinomycetes; Kitasatosporales; Streptomycetaceae.